RNAcentral lists this ribosomal RNA (452 nucleotides) under uncultured bacterium. RNAcentral describes it as "bacterial SSU rRNA". It matches the Rfam family "Bacterial small subunit ribosomal RNA", at positions 335 to 802 of the family's 1533-position model. The record is from RNAcentral.
ACUCCUACGGGAGGCAGCAGUGGGGAAUAUUGGACAAUGGGCGCAAGCCUGAUGCAGCGACGCCGCGUGGGGAUGACGGCCUUCGGGUUGUAAACCUCUUUCACCAGGGACGAAGCGCAAGUGACGGUACCUGGAGAAGAAGCACCGGCCAACUACGUGCCAGCAGCCGCGGUAAUACGUAGGGUGCGAGCGUUGUCCGGAAUUACUGGGCGUAAAGAGCUCGUAGGUGGUUUGUCGCGUUGUCCGUGAAAUCCCACGGCUUAACUGUGGGCGUGCGGGCGAUACGGGCAGACUGGAGUACUGCAGGGGAGACUGGAAUUCCUGGUGUAGCGGUGGAAUGCGCAGAUAUCAGGAGGAACACCGGUGGCGAAGGCGGGUCUCUGGGCAGUAACUGACGCUGAGGAGCGAAAGCGUGGGGAGCGAACAGGAUUAGAUACCCUGGUAGCGAGUAG